Molecule: ribosomal RNA, 253 nt
Filed under: uncultured bacterium
Lineage: Bacteria
Description: partial 16S ribosomal RNA
Rfam family: Bacterial small subunit ribosomal RNA
Source: RNAcentral
UACAGAGGGUGCGAGCGUUAAUCGGAAUUACUGGGCGUAAAGCGCGCGUAGGCGGCUUUGCAAGUCGGGUGUGAAAUCCCCAGGCUUAACCUGGGAACUGCAUUCGAGACUGCAUUGCUAGAGUAUGGGAGAGGGAAGUGGAAUUUCCGGUGUAGCGGUGAAAUGCGUAGAUAUCGGAAGGAACAUCAGUGGCGAAGGCGACACGCUGGGCCGUACCUGACGCUAAAGCGCGACAGCAUGGGGAGCAAACGGG